Molecule: ribosomal RNA, 497 nt
Filed under: uncultured bacterium
Lineage: Bacteria
Description: partial 16S ribosomal RNA
Rfam family: Bacterial small subunit ribosomal RNA
Source: RNAcentral
GAUGAACGCUGGCGGCGUGCCUAAUACAUGCAAGUCGAGCGAACAGACGAGGAGCUUGCUCCUCUGACGUUAGCGGCGGACGGGUGAGUAACACGUGGAUAUCCUACCUAUAAGACUGGGAUAACUUCGGGAAACCGGAGCUAAUACCGGAUAAUAUAUUGAACCGCAUGGUUCAAUAGUGAAAGACGGUUUUGCUGUCACUUAUAGAUGGAUCCGCGCCGCAUUAGCUAGUUGGUAAGGUAACGGCUUACCAAGGCAACGAUGCGUAGCCGACCUGAGAGGGUGAUCGGCCACACUGGAACUGAGACACGGUCCAGACUCCUACGGGAGGCAGCAGUAGGGAAUCUUCCGCAAUGGGCGAAAGCCUGACGGAGCAACGCCGCGUGAGUGGUGAAGGUCUUCGGAUCGUAAAACUCUGUUAUUAGGGAAGAACAAAUGUGUAAGUAACUAUGCACGUCUUGACGGUACCUAAUCAGAAAGCCACGGCUAACUACGUG